GUGAGGUAACCUUUUGGAGCCAGCCGCCGAAGGUGGGACAGAUGAUUGGGGUGAAGUCGUAACAAGGUAGCCGUAUCGGAAGGUGCGGCUGGAUCACCUCCUUUCUAAGGAA
RNAcentral lists this ribosomal RNA (112 nucleotides) under Heyndrickxia sporothermodurans. Its description in RNAcentral is "partial 16S ribosomal RNA". It matches the Rfam family "Bacterial small subunit ribosomal RNA", at positions 1430 to 1533 of the family's 1533-position model. Lineage: Bacteria; Bacillati; Bacillota; Bacilli; Caryophanales; Bacillaceae. The record is from RNAcentral.